AUGGAUUUUUUGUUCACAAAAGAUAGCGUAGGGAUGAUAUGGAGGAAAUUCAUGGAACCUGAGUUUGAUACAGCUGUGUUGUUGAAUGCUGACCCCUUAACAAUCCAAUCUAUCCGCACUAGCUUCACUGGUGCACUUGAUAAAUGGAACCCUGCCUCAACUAGAGUGUGGCACAUACCAGCCAUCUUGCCCGAUGGAUGGGACGUGUACUCAUUUGAUAUGCUGAAAAGGAGGAUAGCCGUUCUUGAUCCAGCAGUUGGACCAUUUGGCUUUAGCAAUCGCAGGGUAAACAUGCACACAUAUGUGUCAAACCUUCUGCAUUCCGCCCUAUUCAGAUGCCUCCAGUGCCUCUAUGAGUCAUGGCAUUGCAACUGUGGAGAAUGGACCAGGUCAUUCCCAAUGCUGAUGGUGGAGAAGGUUGAUAAGUAA
Molecule: ribosomal RNA, 429 nt
Filed under: Triticum aestivum (bread wheat)
Lineage: Eukaryota; Viridiplantae; Streptophyta; Magnoliopsida; Poales; Poaceae
Description: partial small subunit ribosomal RNA
Source: RNAcentral